CAAAGAAAAAAGGCUAAAACUUCGAAUCUCAUUGAUAUUUUGUAGUGUUUUGGUUUCGUGUUCACUGACAGGUGCAUUAAACUGUUUGAGACAUGGAAUAAGUAUAAAUCUCGCCUUCCUCCCUCUUAUUUCGAAAAGCACCUGUUGCAAACAGCAGAUUUCCUCCUUGACUCAAAGGUUUUGGUGAUUCUGAUCACACUUUUGAUGAGAGCCUGCCUCCCUCCUUAAAUCCUUCCUCCUCUCUCUUUGACACAGCUGUUGCUGGGGAGUGCUUGCAUUUAAUUUGCCACUUAUUUUCCUUUACUCUUAUUUGGGUUUAUGUGUUAUAAAGGGUCUUUGUUUUGUGUCUCUCAGGAAAGAGUAAGAUUGCAGUAGAUGCUGUGAAUUUUGUGAAGCAGCUCUUCAGAUAUGAACAGUGGAGCAUGUUCAACUCGCUCUCUAUGGCACUUACGUCAGCACUAGAUGUGAGUGCAUCUGUGAUAUGGCUUAAAAUGUCAGCCAGACUGCUAUCUAGUUCUUUUUUCUUGUAGUGUUCACAGAACGUGGAAGGCUGCGCAUUUAGGAAGUAUGAGCUUGAACUGAGGACUUUGGAGGCUGUGGAGCAUUUGAUGUCCACGCAAAGAGUUAAAUGAAAGAAUUUUCAUUUCGGUCCAUCCCUACAAACUAUCCGAUUCCUGGUCAGGUCAGAAAGACAUGCAAUCUUUCACCAUAUUAGUGAAACAUAUUUUCAUGCAUGUCACUGAAUAUGUUGUAUUUAUUCUGCUCAGAUGAGAUGAGUUUGAUGGAAUUUAAGAAGUCACAUGCAGUUCAAGCACAGCCUCAGAAACAAAUAGACCUACAGGAGAAGGCCCUGUUGACAUUCAGGAAAAACCAGAUGAGCCGAGAGACCAAGAAAAUACUUGAGGAGGCCGUAACGCUAAUGGAGAAAGCUGAGCUUGAAGAGAGGAGGCUGGUUAGUAGUGCUUAUCCUUCAGAGAACAAUUUAGGAAUGCCAGAGAAGAGACAGCCACCACCAGCCCCAAUACUCCUCACACGCUCCAACCUCCCCAUGACCUUCAAACCUACACCAUACACCCUUGAGGAGAAUGAUGUCACUUCCUGCAACAAAACAGGUCCUUCUAUUUUCUCAUAUCUUAGAUCAGGAAGCCAAUGUUUAAACAAAAAAAAAAAAAAUAGUAAACAAUCAGUACAAAGUAUGUUAUAUGGCCUUUGAUGCGGGGUCAGAUAGAUGUGAGCUUACUGGACAGGAAGACCCUGUUGUACUCUACAUGGUGAUUGAAAACAGCACCCUCCAGCAGGCCUUUAAAGAGGAUAUAUCAAAAAAAAACACAGAAAAAGUCAGACUCAUUGAAUGAGGUGUCGUACACUCAUUCUGUAUGUUUGCAUUAGUGUGUUACUGAUCUAGUGAUGAAGUUCAAGCAGAAGUCUUGUUUUCUGGAGUUUGUUGCGCACUUGCUCCAGAAAGCCCUGCUAGAAGAUGAGAUGGAUCUUGUGUUGCAGUGGGAGCAGAACAUCUUGAACUGGCUUAGCAGGUGUGUUUUUGUGUAGUUCAUGCUUGCAAUGCAUGUGUAGGUGUUUUGAGUUAUAUUUCUUUGCUUUCUGUAAUAUUUCUAGACGUGAUGAGGCUUUGUUCGGACUAAAGAAGAACUCAGGUCUACCAGGGGAGGAGUUUAAAGACUUCACAACCUCUGUAAUUGAGUACAAUACCAAAGUAAGCUUCUGUUUCAUAAAAUGUGUUAACAUUAUACAUUAUACAACCCUCUUUUGUACCUGCAAGUUUCUUGGGCUCUGGGUCAGUGAUCUUAACCUGACCUCCUCCACAGGGAAACAGUAACUGUCUGCUUGCAUAAUUCCUGCAUGUCACCUAUGGACGUCAGUUACAAAAUUUAGAAAUUUUUCCAACUCAGAUGGACGCAAAACUGGAAUAUCCAUUAUAAAGGUUUGCAUUGAACAGGCUGUGAACUCAAAAUUUUAAGCAAAAAUUAAUCAGAAAUAUGUGUAUGUGAUCAUUUCUGUCUACCUUCUCUCCAGAGAUCAUCUCAGUGCAGGACCUUCAUGUAUAAUGACCCAAAUGUAUAAUUUAUUUUUUUAAAAGACCAUAAUUAAGUCUUACGUGUGUGCUUUAUAAUUUACUGCAGAAGUGAAGAGAGCCAUGUGUCUGGUGUGUGUACCGUUGGAUGUAGAGGACACACUGCAGUGUUUAAGAGAGACUGAAGAAAAGACAUCACACACUGCUGACCUUUCAGCACAGCCGAACUCUACUCCUGCUGCUAUUGGCAGACACAAAGCACUGUAAGUCUAACAUACACACCACUAAGUUUGGGGUCAGUACAUUUUUUUUUUUUCUUUAAAUAAUUUAAUUGUUAUAUUUAGCAAGGACAUAUUCAAUUUAUCAAAAGUGACAAUAAAGACAUUUGUAAUUUCUAUUCCUCA
This is a long non-coding RNA of Cyprinus carpio (common carp), 2433 nucleotides long. NCBI's taxonomy places the organism in Eukaryota, Metazoa, Chordata, Actinopteri, Cypriniformes, Cyprinidae. The record is from Ensembl.